This 467-nucleotide long non-coding RNA is filed under the name Elaeis guineensis (African oil palm). RNAcentral's name for it is "long non-coding RNA (EGUI_LNC075475)". Lineage: Eukaryota; Viridiplantae; Streptophyta; Magnoliopsida; Arecales; Arecaceae. The record is from RNAcentral.
CGAACCGCCGAAUCUCGGCAUCUGUCGGCCGCAUCCUUGGAGGUGUCCCUGCAAUACCGACAAAAAUGUUAAAGACCGGACCAAGAGCCAAAUGAAAAGAAAGACCGGGGGAUCGGGCGAUACCUAUUCGGGGGACCAGACUCAAGCCAGCAUCAUAGAGAGCUUGUUCGGUAACAAGCUCCCUCUGCUUCGGGACCGACAUGUCUUUCAGUCGGUGGAAGUCCUCCCGGUCGUCCGCCUCCACCCGGCUGUUGUCGUUGGCUUCGGUCCGGGGCACGCCCCAGCGGGAAGGAAAGCCCCAGGGAGAUGAGGAGGAAACAAAAAAGAAUUGGUUCUUCCACCCAUGAAUGGAUGAUGGAAGAUCGGUGAUGAAGGCAAGACCCUUCCGGGGGUUGAAGAGCCACCACCCUCGGGCUUUAGGGUGGGGUCGAAGCACAAAGAAUGCCCGGAAGAGUGAAACGCGGGGG